Molecule: ribosomal RNA, 253 nt
Filed under: uncultured bacterium
Lineage: Bacteria
Description: partial 16S ribosomal RNA
Rfam family: Bacterial small subunit ribosomal RNA
Source: RNAcentral
UACGUAGGGUGCGAGCGUUAAUCGGAAUUACUGGGCGUAAAGCGUGCGCAGGCGGUUUGAUAAGUCCGAUGUGAAAGCCCCGGGCUUAACCUGGGAACGGCGUUGGAAACUCUCAAGCUUGAGUGUGGCAGAGGGGGGUGGAAUUCCACGUGUAGCAGUGAAAUGCGUAGAGAUGUGGAGGAACACCGAUGGCGAAGGCAGCCCCCUGGGCUAACACUGACGCUCAGGCACGAAAGCGUGGGGAGCAAACAGG